GACGAACGCUGGCGGCGUGCUUAACACAUGCAAGUCGAACGGAAAGGCCCUGCUUUUGUGGGGUGCUCGAGUGGCGAACGGGUGAGUAACACGUGAGUAACCUGCCCUUGACUUUGGGAUAACUUCAGGAAACUGGGGCUAAUAACGGAUAGGAGCUCCUGUUGCAUGGUGGGGGUUGGAAAGUUUCGGCGGUUGGGGAUGGACUCGCGGCUUAUCAGCUUGUUGGUGGGGUAGUGGCUUACCAAGGCUUUGACGGGUAGCCGGCCUGAGAGGGUGACCGGCCACAUUGGGACUGAGAUACGGCCCAGACUCCUACGGGAGGCAGCAGUGGAGAAUAUUGCACAAUGGGCGGAAGCCUGAUGCAGCAACGCCGCGUGCGGGAUGACGGCCUUCGGGUUGUAAACCGCUUUCGCCUGUGACGAAGCGUGAGUGACGGUAAUGGGUAAAGAAGCACCGGCUAACUACGUG
This 468-nucleotide ribosomal RNA is filed under the name uncultured bacterium. RNAcentral describes it as "partial 16S ribosomal RNA". It matches the Rfam family "Bacterial small subunit ribosomal RNA", at positions 28 to 507 of the family's 1533-position model. The record is from RNAcentral.